UGGGUACACCUUUGCGAAUCUUGGAGAGC
Molecule: non-coding RNA, 29 nt
Filed under: Mus musculus (house mouse)
Lineage: Eukaryota; Metazoa; Chordata; Mammalia; Rodentia; Muridae
Source: RNAcentral